CAGUAGCCGCGGUAAUACGUAGGGUGCGAGCGUUAAUCGGAAUUACUGGGUGUAAAGCGUGCGCAGGCGGUUGUGUAAGACAGGUGUGAAAUCCCCGGGCUUAACCUGGGAACUGCGCUUGUGACUGCACAGCUAGAGUAUGGCAGAGGGGAGUGGAAUUCCACGUGUAGCAGUGAAAUGCGUAGGGAUGUGGAGGAACACCGAUGGCGAAGGCAGCCCCCUGGGCCAAUACUGACGCUCAUGCACGAAAGCGUGGGGAGCAAACAGGAUUAGAUACCCCCGUAGUCCCUGUCUCUUAUAC
Molecule: ribosomal RNA, 301 nt
Filed under: uncultured bacterium
Lineage: Bacteria
Description: partial 16S ribosomal RNA
Rfam family: Bacterial small subunit ribosomal RNA
Source: RNAcentral